Molecule: long non-coding RNA, 355 nt
Organism: Nannospalax galili (Upper Galilee mountains blind mole rat)
Lineage: Eukaryota; Metazoa; Chordata; Mammalia; Rodentia; Spalacidae
Exons: 3
Source: RefSeq, a predicted model, not a curated record
CAGAGACAUUGACAGCUGAUGGUGCUCACAGGCUGAAGCUGUCAGUAAACUGCAAAAUGAAAGCACAUAGCCACCUAUACAGUAAGCAGGGUGAGGAACGGCCCCUCGCUCCUGGAAGGGCAGAAUAAGAUAUGAGACUGCCACUGACCCCAGAGCUGGCCAAGUCCAGUGAGUCCUGUGAGCCAGCUUGCUGCAGGCUCCUUCCUGCCUCUGCCUCCUGAGUGCUGGGAUUACAGGAGGCUAGGCAUGAGACCAACAGCUCGGUCGCACCCUGCUUCCUAUUGAUGAGCAGGAGGGUGCUGUCCGGAAAUCUGCCCCAGCAGCUAGAAACCAACAACACAUCCACAGCUCCAAU